RNAcentral lists this ribosomal RNA (411 nucleotides) under Haemophilus influenzae. Its description in RNAcentral is "partial 23S ribosomal RNA". It matches the Rfam family "Bacterial large subunit ribosomal RNA", at positions 2528 to 2925 of the family's 2925-position model. The record is from RNAcentral. Lineage: Bacteria; Pseudomonadati; Pseudomonadota; Gammaproteobacteria; Pasteurellales; Pasteurellaceae.
GAUGUCGGCUCAUCACAUCCUGGGGCUGAAGUAGGUCCCAAGGGUAUGGCUGUUCGCCAUUUAAAGUGGUACGCGAGCUGGGUUUAGAACGUCGUGAGACAGUUCGGUCCCUAUCUGCCGUGGGCGUUGGAUGAUUAAUUGGGGCUGCUCCUAGUACGAGAGGACCGGAGUGGACGCAUCACUGGUGUUCCAGUUGUCUCGCCAGAGGCAUUGCUGGGUAGCUAAGUGCGGAAGAGAUAAGUGCUGAAAGCAUCUAAGCACGAAACUUGCCAAGAGAUGAGUCAUCCCUGACUUUAAGUCAGUAAGGGUUGUUGUAGACUACGACGUAGAUAGGUCUGGUGUGUAAGUGUAGUGAUAUAUUGAGCUAACAGAUACUAAUUGCCCGAGAGGCUUAACUAUACAACGCUCAAG